UCCAACUCCUGACCUCAUGAUCCCCCCGCCUCAGCCUCCCAAAGUGCUGGGAUUACAAGCGUGAGCCACCGCGACCCGCCAACACUCUUGACAACAGUGCUGUGCUAAGAACUUGGGGGACUUCAAAAAGUUCACCAGUUCCUGUGUCCAUGGGUGAAAAGAUUUUCUACAUCUUUCCUUGACUAGAAACAGAAGUCCUGAAACAAGAAUAUAACGUCAGGAGGCCAGAGGCUUUGUCCUGCCUAAUGUGUUAUUUCCACACUGAAUAAAAGCACCUGAGUCCUGUCUCACUCCGUCACCCAGACUGGAGUGCGGUGGCAUGAUCUCAGCUCAAUGCAACCUCUGCCUCCUGCGUUCAAGUAAGUCUAAUUUGCUAGGUGUGGCAAUAUGACCAGUGAAAAACAACAAGGGCAGCAUUUCCUGCAGUUCGGUGGCACAGUAUGGUUCAAAGAGGUAUAAAAGGAAGUCACAGGCAUUUUAAAAAGGUUGUACAUCUAGCAAUACCUAACAAAAUAGGAAAUCAACUUGGAAAGCCAAUGGCUGUGUUUUGAGUUUAUGGAGAGCCAUAUGUGGCAAGGAACUGAGGGUGGCAUCCAGGCAACAGACUUCAAGAAACUGAGGCUGUCAGUCCAACAACCCACAAGAACUGAAUCUGACCAACAAUCACAGGAACAAACUUAGAAGUAUACUCUUUCCCAGACAAACCUUCAGAUGAGACCACAGCCCCAGCCAUAAGCUUGAAAACAAUCUCAUGAGGGACCUUGAGCCACAGGCAUGUAGUAAAGCUAUGCCAGGAAUCCUGCCUGCCCCACAGAAAAUGUAAAAAAAAUAAAUUUUUAUUGUUUUAAGCCA
This 852-nucleotide long non-coding RNA is filed under the name Homo sapiens (human). RNAcentral's name for it is "HSALNT0376096". Lineage: Eukaryota; Metazoa; Chordata; Mammalia; Primates; Hominidae. The record is from RNAcentral.